GAUGAACGCUGGCGGCGUGCCUAAUACAUGCAAGUCGAGCGAACAGACGAGGAGCUUGCUCCUCUGACGUUAGCGGCGGACGGGUGAGUAACACGUGGAUAACCUACCUAUAAGACUGGGAUAACUUCGGGAAACCGGAGCUAAUACCGGAUAAUAUAUUGAACCGCAUGGUUCAAUAGUGAAAGACGGUUUUGCUGUCACUUAUAGAUGGAUCCGCGCCGCAUUAGCUAGUUGGUAAGGUAACGGCUUACCAAGGCAACGAUGCGUAGCCGACCUGAGAGGGUGAUCGGCCACACGGGAACUGAGACACGGUCCAGACUCCUACGGGAGGCAGCAGUAGGGAAUCUUCCGCAAUGGGCGAAAGCCUGACGGAGCAACGCCGCGUGAGUGAUGAAGGUCUUCGGAUCGUAAAACUCUGUUAUUAGGGAAGAACAAAUGUGUAAGUAACUAUGCACGUCUUGACGGUACCUAAUCAGAAAGCCACGGCUAACU
RNAcentral lists this ribosomal RNA (492 nucleotides) under uncultured bacterium. RNAcentral's name for it is "partial 16S ribosomal RNA". It matches the Rfam family "Bacterial small subunit ribosomal RNA", at positions 28 to 502 of the family's 1533-position model. The record is from RNAcentral.